CCUCCAGACUCCUACGGGAGGCAGCAGUGGGGAAUAUUGGACAAUGGGGGGAACCCUGAUCCAGCGACGCCGCGUGAGUGAAGAAGUAUUUCGGUAUGUAAAGCUCUAUCAGCAGGGAAGAAAGAAAUGACGGUACCUGACUAAGAAGCCCCGGCUAACUACGUGCCAGCAGCCGCGGUAAUACGUAGGGGGCAAGCGUUAUCCGGAUUUACUGGGUGUAAAGGGAGCGUAGACGGCGAUGCAAGUCUGAAGUGAAAGGCGGGGGCCCAACCCCCGGACUGCUUUGGAAACUGUAUGGCUGGAGUGCAGGAGAGGUAAGUGGAAUUCCUAGUGUAGCGGUGAAAUGCGUAGAUAUCAGGAGGAACACCGGCGGCGAAGGCGGCCUGCUGGACCGUGACUGACGUUGAGGCUCGAGAGCGUGGGGAGCAAACAGGAUUAGAUACCCCCGUAA
Molecule: ribosomal RNA, 451 nt
Filed under: uncultured bacterium
Lineage: Bacteria
Description: bacterial SSU rRNA
Rfam family: Bacterial small subunit ribosomal RNA
Source: RNAcentral